This 468-nucleotide ribosomal RNA is filed under the name uncultured bacterium. RNAcentral describes it as "partial 16S ribosomal RNA". It matches the Rfam family "Bacterial small subunit ribosomal RNA", at positions 28 to 507 of the family's 1533-position model. The record is from RNAcentral.
GACGAACGCUGGCGGCGUGCUUAACACAUGCAAGUCGAACGGCAAGGCCCUGCUUUUGUGGGGUGCUCGAGUGGCGAACGGGUGAGUAACACGUGAGUAACCUGCCCUUGACUUUGGGAUAACUUCAGGAAACUGUGGCUAAUACCGGAUAGGAGCUCCUGCUGCAUGGUGGGGGUUGGACAGUUUCGGCGGUUGGGGAUGGACUCGCGGCUUAUCAGCUUGUUGGUGGGGUAGUGGCUUACCAAGGCUUUGACGGGUAGCCGGCCUGAGAGGGUGACCGGCCACAUUGGGACUGAGAUACGGCCCAGACUCCUACGGGAGGCAGCAGUGGGGAAUAUUGCACAAUGGGCGGAAGCCUGAUGCAGCAACGCCGCGUGCGGGAUGACGGCCUUCGGGUUGUAAACCGCUUUCGCCUGUGACGAAGCGUGAGUGACGGUAAUGGGUAAAGAAGCACCGGCUAACUACGUG